RNAcentral lists this ribosomal RNA (253 nucleotides) under uncultured bacterium. RNAcentral's name for it is "partial 16S ribosomal RNA". It matches the Rfam family "Bacterial small subunit ribosomal RNA", at positions 524 to 776 of the family's 1533-position model. The record is from RNAcentral.
UACGGAGGGUGCAAGCGUUAUCCGGAUUCACUGGGUUUAAAGGGGGCGUAGGUGGGCAGUUAAGUCAGUGGUGAAAUCUCCGGGCUUAACCCGGAAACUGCCAUUGAUACUAUCUGUCUUGAAUAUCGUGGAGGUAAGCGGAAUAUGUCAUGUAGCGGUGAAAUGCUUAGAUAUGACAUAGAACACCAAUUGCGAAGGCAGCUUACUACCCGAAUAUUGACACUGAGGCACGAAAGCGUGGGGAUCAAACAGG